GUGAGAGAGACACAGGUGAGAGACACAGGUGAGAGAGACACAGGUGAGAGACACAGGUGAGAGAGACAUGUGAGAGACACAGGUGAGAGACACAGGUGUGAGAGACACAGGUGAGAGAGACAGGUGAGAGAGAGACAGGUGUGAGAGGCACAGGUGAGAGAUACAGGUGAGAGAGAGACACAUGUGAGAGAGACACAGGUGAGAGGCACAGGUGAGAGAGACACAGGUGAGAGACACAGGUGAGAGAGAGACAGGUGAGAGAGACACAGGUGAGAGACACAGGUGAGAGAGACACAGGUGAGUGAGAGACACAGGUGAGAGACACAGGUGAGAGAGACACAGGUGAGAGAGAGACACAGGUGAGAGAGACAGGUGAGAGAGACACACAGGUGAGAGAGAGACAGGUGAGAGAGAGACAGGUGAGAGACACAGGUGAGAGACAUAGGUGAGAG
Long non-coding RNA from Labrus mixtus (cuckoo wrasse), 452 nucleotides. RefSeq lists it as uncharacterized. Lineage: Eukaryota; Metazoa; Chordata; Actinopteri; Labriformes; Labridae. The record is from RefSeq and is a predicted model, not a curated record. The transcript has 3 exons.